CUAUUUUAAACUUUUUCUGUUUCAGAGAGAGCACCCUGCUAACUGGAGGAUCCAAGUUUAAAAAGGACCCCCAGAGAAACACGUGUGGCUUGAGACAUCCUGUGUAAUCCAAUAAAUAUCCCCCCCUACCCUAUCUCCACCUUUGCUGGCUAAAGCAAAUGCAAGAGUCAGGGAGGGGAAGGAGUUAUUUUCAAGCAUUUUUAUGUUGUCUUGUGCAGACUGCACAUGUGGGAGAGUUCAUGCACUUUCUCCCAGAAGUGACUUGCAACUUUUACUUUACGAGCAGUUCCAACAAGUGUGACUAUCUAGUUGCCGUAACUAUAGCAGAUCAAAAUCCACAGCUCGUGGGCAGAGUAGAGCGUGCAGAGUAAGUUCGGGAUUAAGAGCACAGAUUCUGGAGUCAAACUACAGAUUUGAAUUUUGGCUCUGCCACUUCCCAACUAUAUAACUCUAAAGGAAAUCCUUCACCUUUUGCCUUGAUUUCCUCCUCUGUAAAUGGGAAUAAUGAAAGUACCUAUUUCACACAGUUGUCAAAAGGAUUAAAUGAGAUAAAGUAACUGCGACAGUAAGUACUAUAUGAGUAUCAAGUGGAGUGGGUACAUGAUAACACUUCUUAUGAAAAGUAAAAAAAAAAUAACUUUUUUUUUUGGUCUUCUAUUACCUAGCUUGAACGUAUUGUGUUAUAAUUACUCAUUUAUGAAUCUUCUCCCUCACCGGAUUUUAUGGUCCUCCUUCAUAGCCAGAGCCACAUCUUAUUUUCACAGCAUCUAUCACACUACUUGUCCUUCAAUAAAUGUUUUGAUGAAUGGAGGAAUAAUAAUCUCAUACGUACACAGUGCUUAGUUCUAGGCUCCGUUCCAAUGCUUUACAAAUAUUAACUCGUUUAAUCUUGAUGACAAUCCCAGGAAGUAUUAUUAUCAUCUCUAAUUUACAGAUAAGGUAAAUGACCUUUUGUAAUGUGUCUAGGUCACCUCAGCUACUAACUGUCAGACCCAGGAUUCAAAUCUAAGUAGCUGGUGUCAGAAACCUGGCUUUUAACCGGCCAAGUACAAGGCCUCCCAGAGGACAAGAGGAGCAACAAUCACACACCAACUUGGCUUUUCCAAAAGUCUCAUUUCCUGAGGUGAAGGAGCCAUUCGUCCAACAAAUGUUUACAUAGUGCUUUUCGUGUGUGCACCAUCAUGUGAAACACUGAUCUCUAACUGCUCCCCACUUCCUCCCACCACCCCUCCACUCAGUUGCUGCUUCCUGCCCUCAAACUCCACUGCUCUGUGACCUUCUUUCACUUUCUUUAAUGUGUUAUGCUCUCUCUGGAACUGUGACUACCGCUUUGCCCUGCUAACUCAUGCUUAUCCUUCAGUUUUCGGCUUAAAUUACUUCUUUCUGAAAGCCUUCCGUCACCCCCUCAAGUCGGUGAGGUGCCCCUGCGCCGGGCUCCUCAGGGCACCGUGCACUUUCCUUAUCAUAGCCUUUCCCAUACUUACCCACCGUCGCUGCCCAUUUACUGUCGCCGUCUGCACUAGACUUGAAACUCUGUGAGAGCAAGGGGGGAAGGGGACGGUGUGGCAGAGGCUUAAAGGAUGAGUGAAAGAUUAUACAAAGGAAAGGAAGACGUCAUGGAGAUCUGACUCUCUUUUGAAGAACACAGGAGAUUAAUAUUGAACAGCCAACCACUCAAGUCCUCUUUUAACAGCUCUUUGUGAAUGAUACCUGCAUAUUGUCCAGCUGGAUCAACAUGCCUUAGAUUAUUCUCUAGAGCCCGAUGACAAACAGUGGGACAUCCUCAAAAAGACUGGGAAUAAGGUCAUCCUGGAAACAAAAUCCACUCUCCAUAAAUGAAAAGAACCAUCUGUAACUGAGCCUGCAUGUAAAAGUGAGUCCAAGAGGUUUGGGAGUGCUCAGGAUUCUCACCAAGACACCAAGGUAAUCUAGAACGGUUCUCAAAGCUGCAGGCCUGGAAACUGACUAUAAUUAAUGAUUGGAAACCAUAUCAUUUGUAAUAAAUACAUCCUGUUUUGAGAACAUCUGUGUGAAUAGAAAGAGGAGAGUGGUCACCACGGAACCUUGAAAAGGGAAAGGCACCGGUGUCUCUCCAGGCACCGCCCAGGGAUGAGAAGUCGAAGCAAAGCAAUGUUAACAUCAUGAUGUUGACAAGACAUAGAAAGCAGCCUUUGCCGCAUGUUAGACUUGCCUCUGCCACUUUUAGCCUUUUUUUGUUGUUGUUUUGUUUUGUUAGGGCUGCACCCAUGGCAUAUGGAAGUUCCUGGGCUAGGGGUUGAAUUGGAGCUGCAGCUGCCGGCCUACACCACAGCCACAGCAAUGCAGGAUCCUUAACUCACUGAGUGAGGCCAGGGAUUGAACCUCAUCCUCAUGGAUGCUAGUCAGAUUCGUUUCCACUGAGCCACGAUGAGAACUCCCUCAGCCACUUUCAAAGUAAAAGUCCUAUUUGAACUUUGCUGUGACCAACUGAAUCAGAAUCUCAGAGAGCGGCCCAAGCACAAGCGCUUACGAAACCGCCACAGAUGAGUCUAAUGUGCAAUCAGGGAAGCCCCUGAUUCUAAGCUCCCAGGUAGUGUCUCUCUUGAGAUUGACUCACGCCCCUUGCUCUGAUUCCAGGCUACCCCUGAUACUUGGCUUCCCAUAAGAAAAUGCACUGAUCUUCUGCUGUGAGCGUUCUGGUCUGCUUUACAAAUUAAAUUAGCCUUACAAACAAUACUUUCUUUUUGCAAAUUAAUAAAUGGAAUUUUGGUUUAUGCAUCAGACACAGUAAUCUUUGUUAACGUAAAUCUGAGGA
Molecule: non-coding RNA, 2794 nt
Organism: Sus scrofa (pig)
Lineage: Eukaryota; Metazoa; Chordata; Mammalia; Artiodactyla; Suidae
Source: RefSeq, a predicted model, not a curated record